Camellia sinensis is the source of this 476-nucleotide non-coding RNA. Lineage: Eukaryota; Viridiplantae; Streptophyta; Magnoliopsida; Ericales; Theaceae. The record is from RefSeq and is a predicted model, not a curated record.
CACACUUUAUUUAUUUAUAUUUUAUUUUUUUAUCUUCAAGGCUUGAAUCUCAUGCUCUAGGUUGAUGACCCUAUGUGAUCUCCAAAUUCGCUCUUAAUCUCCAAAUUCGACUCCGUCAAUGGAGUCUCUAAGAAAUCAAGUGGCAGUGCCAGACUUGUAAUGACGACUAUUAUGGGAAUGGUCUUCGGAUAUUUUAUUGGAGUUUCAUUCGCAUCUGUUUCUCUUACUAAGGAUUAUGCCAUGGAGUUAGAUGAGACACACAUACAAAAUGCAGCACACUUGAUGGUUGCCAGUUUAGCUGGAAGUUUAGCUCAUGUAACAUGCAAGAUUGGAUUGGGGUGGCAUUUUUGACGUGCAACAAUGAUGUAAUUUGCUUGAAUGUUCAUUUUGUUUAAUAAGGAUACACAUACUUUGUGGAGUUGCACUAGUUAUUGUUGGAUGUUUGGUGGAAUUGUACAAGUUAUAACUUUUGGAUA